GAGCCUGUGGCUCAAUGGUAGAGCGUUUGAUUCAAAUACCAAUGUUUGCUGGUUUAAAUCCCAGGUUUG
Molecule: transfer RNA, 69 nt
Filed under: Schistocephalus solidus
Lineage: Eukaryota; Metazoa; Platyhelminthes; Cestoda; Diphyllobothriidea; Diphyllobothriidae
Rfam family: tRNA
About the family: Transfer RNA (tRNA) molecules are approximately 80 nucleotides in length. Their secondary structure includes four short double-helical elements and three loops (D, anti-codon, and T loops).
Source: Rfam by way of RNAcentral